This is a long non-coding RNA of Larimichthys crocea (large yellow croaker), 362 nucleotides long. RefSeq lists it as uncharacterized. The record is from RefSeq and is a predicted model, not a curated record. Lineage: Eukaryota; Metazoa; Chordata; Actinopteri; Sciaenidae. The transcript is spliced from 3 exons.
ACCACAGACAUCACAAAGAAAUGACCAACCUGCUUCAGACAUGAAGCAGGAAGUGGCAAAUGCUGAGAACACAAAUCAACAGUCUGCAGAAACUGACAAGACAAAUGAGCCAAUGGAGCAGAGUCCAUCUGAGUCAAGUGAGCAGGUUAGAAGAGGAGAAGUCCAGGGUGUUGAUUCGACGUGGAAAAAGUUCUACGUCCACUUGGCCGGAAAAACUAACAACGCUCAUCGAGAGGCUGUUAAAAAGUUUAAAAGAAUCGACAAAAGAGACACAAGUCUCUGCAGAAAGUGACUACAUUCUGGUUUUCUGUCCCAUUGUUUCACGAGUCGGGACGGACAUCGGAGAGGCCCUGGAGAGCACU